AUGGAUGGAAAGAAAGGUGUUAGAAAUCGAGGUUGCGGUGUUGGGACGUUGUUGUGGUGUUGUGUUGUUGUGGUGUCGUCAUUGUGGCGUUGUGUCGUCACAUGUUGUUGUGGUGUUGUGUUGUGGUGUCGUUGUUGUGUCAUUGUGUUGUUGUGUCGUCACAUGUUGUUGUGGUGUUGUGUUGUGGUGUUGUUGUUGUGUCAUUGUGUUGUUGUGUCGUCACAUGUUGUUGUGGUGUUGUGUUGUGGUGGUGUUGUUGUGUCAUUGUGUUGUUGUGGUGUUGUGUCGUUGUUGUGUUGUGUUUUGGUGGUGGUGUGUCAUUGUGUUGUGUCGUGUCGUUGUGUUGUUGUGAUGUCGUCGUUGUGGCGUUGUGUCGUCACAUGUUGUUGUGGUGUUGUGUUGUGGUGUCGUGUCGUUGUGUCAUUAUGUCAUUGUGUUGUUGUGGUGUUGUGUCGUCGUGUCGUUGUGUCAUGGUGUUGUGGUGUUGUGUCGUGUUGUUGUUGUGGUGGUGCGUUGUGGUGUUGUGUCGUUGUGUCAUGGUGUUGUUGUGGCGUUGUGUUGUUGUGUCAUGAUACUGUUGUGGUGGUGUGUCGCUGUGUCAUGGUGCUGUGGUGUUGUGUCGUUGUGUCAUUGUGUCAUGAUGCUGUUGUGGUGUUGUGUUGUGUCAUGAUGUUGUGGUGGUGUGUUGUGGAGUUGUGUCGUUGUGUCAUGAUGUUGUGGUGUUGUGUCGUGCUCUUGUGUUGGUGCGUUGUGGUGUUGUGUCG
RNAcentral lists this long non-coding RNA (764 nucleotides) under Phasianus colchicus (ring-necked pheasant). RNAcentral's name for it is "lncRNA (ENSPCLG00000013426.1)". Lineage: Eukaryota; Metazoa; Chordata; Aves; Galliformes; Phasianidae. The record is from RNAcentral.